GACGAACGCUGGCGGCGUGCUUAACACAUGCAAGUCGAACGGAAAGGCCCUGCUUUUGUGGGGUGCUCGAGUGGCGAACGGGUGAGUAACACGUGAGUAACCUGCCCUUGACUUUGGGAUAACUUCAGGAAACUGGGGCUAAUACCGGAUAGGAGCUCCUGCUGCAUGGUGGGGGUUGGAAAGUUUCGGCGGUUGGGGAUGGACUCGCGGCUUAUCAGCUUGUUGGUGGGGUAGUGGCUUACCAAGGCUUUGACGGGUAGCCGGCCUGAGAGGGUGACCGGCCACAUUGGGACUGAGAUACGGCGCAGACGCCUACGGGAGGCAGCAGUGGGGAAUAUUGCACAAUGGGCGGAAGCCUGAUGCAGCAACGCCGCGUGCGGGAUGACGGCCUUCGGGUUGUAAACCGCUUUAGCCUGUGACGAAGCGUGAGUGACGGUAAUGGGUAAAGAAGCACCGGCUAACUACGUG
RNAcentral lists this ribosomal RNA (468 nucleotides) under uncultured bacterium. RNAcentral describes it as "partial 16S ribosomal RNA". It matches the Rfam family "Bacterial small subunit ribosomal RNA", at positions 28 to 507 of the family's 1533-position model. The record is from RNAcentral.